Molecule: long non-coding RNA, 807 nt
Organism: Pan troglodytes (chimpanzee)
Lineage: Eukaryota; Metazoa; Chordata; Mammalia; Primates; Hominidae
Exons: 2
Source: RefSeq, a predicted model, not a curated record
GGCCCCAGUGGAGAGCCAGGGCUCUCAGGGGUGGUCCUAGGGGGAGGAGCAUCAGCACCCCGGGGCCCUGCUGGGAAAGCCAGCUCUCAGGCUCUGCUGAGUCCUCCUGAAUUGGAACCUUAGGGUGGGCCUGGCCAUCGGAGUUUUAACAAGGCCUCCAGAAGAUUCUGACACUCACCAGAGUCUGAGAGACACAGCAGAGCUAGAACCCGGGCUCCAGUUUUCACCCAGGAGACAGGAGGAUUCUGGGUGGAAGGGCAUGAGGGACUGGGGUCCCCCCAGAAGGAGCGCCCCAGGACGAUGCCACACAAGGUGGACAUUCGCUCCUCCUGGGAAUGUUCUCUAAGGGUUCCUUGGACAGGAAAGUGGCUCUCUGAGCUGCCUGGCAUUGGAGAUGCUGGGGGAACGUCGGUCAUGGAUAAGCCCCCAGUGAAGGGACUUAGGAAGCCUCUCCCUCUUGGUGUUCUUUCCCCAGAGAGUCUUCAGAGACUGGAAAUGCUUGCCAGGAAGGAAGAACCACUUUCUGUCCUCCAUCCUCAGGAGCACAGAAGGGUGAAGCUGAGCCCACAGAGAGAAGCAUCUCAUGCUGUCUGCAGCAGCUGCAGCGCUCUCCUGGGGCAGGAGAUGCUCAAAGGUCAACAAGACUUUGAAAAGGGGCUGGGAGAAAAGCCCCCAGUGCUGGCUCUGGACUCACUAUCCCAGGGCUCCUAAAGGGCUAAACAUGACUAGAUUGUAGUGAGCCUUUCCUAACAUGCAAAGAAGCAUCCAGGGAUAAUGUCUAAAUACAGAUGUGCUAUUUCUCUCCUC